RNAcentral lists this transfer RNA (64 nucleotides) under Vatana ogromna. Its description in RNAcentral is "tRNA-Ser". The record is from RNAcentral. Lineage: Eukaryota; Metazoa; Arthropoda; Insecta; Hemiptera; Cicadellidae. RNAcentral also lists the same sequence under 1 other name.
AGUUAUUUAGCUUAUAAAAAGCAAUUAUUUUGAAAAUAAAAGAAAGAAUAAAAUUUAUUAACUU